GAGUGUAUAGCUCAGGGGUAGAGCACAUGCUUCACUUGCAAGAGGUCCUGGGUUCAAUCCCCAGUACCUCCA
Molecule: transfer RNA, 72 nt
Filed under: Camelus bactrianus (Bactrian camel)
Lineage: Eukaryota; Metazoa; Chordata; Mammalia; Artiodactyla; Camelidae
Also listed under: 2 other names
Rfam family: tRNA
About the family: Transfer RNA (tRNA) molecules are approximately 80 nucleotides in length. Their secondary structure includes four short double-helical elements and three loops (D, anti-codon, and T loops).
Source: Rfam by way of RNAcentral